Molecule: non-coding RNA, 26 nt
Filed under: Homo sapiens (human)
Lineage: Eukaryota; Metazoa; Chordata; Mammalia; Primates; Hominidae
Source: RNAcentral
CGCAGAGUUUGAAGGGAAGCCACUGC